GGGAACUCUGUGACGGGUGCCGGGGGAAUACAGGUGGCCCAAGGUGUGCUCGGAUUCAGUGGGCGUAGAGGGUGCGUGGGGGGUCGGGUAAGGCUGAGGUGAAAUCUCCGAGCUGAACUCGGAAACGGCCUUGGAGACUAGUCGGCGUGAGGGUUGGAGGGGGGACUGGAAUUCUCGGUGUAGCAGUGAAAUGCGUAGAUAUCGAGAGGAACACCAGUGGCGAAGGCGAGUCCCUGGACAACUCCUGACGCUGAGGCACGAAAGCUAGGGGAGCAAACAGGAUUAGAUACCCGAGUAGUC
Molecule: ribosomal RNA, 300 nt
Filed under: uncultured Pyrodictium sp.
Lineage: Archaea; Thermoproteati; Thermoproteota; Thermoprotei; Desulfurococcales; Pyrodictiaceae
Description: bacterial SSU rRNA
Rfam family: Bacterial small subunit ribosomal RNA
Source: RNAcentral